RNAcentral lists this ribosomal RNA (495 nucleotides) under uncultured bacterium. RNAcentral describes it as "partial 16S ribosomal RNA". It matches the Rfam family "Bacterial small subunit ribosomal RNA", at positions 28 to 507 of the family's 1533-position model. The record is from RNAcentral.
GACGAACGCUGGCGGCGUGCCUAAUACAUGCAAGUCGAACGCUGAAGGAGGAGCUUGCUUCUCUGGAUGAGUUGCGAACGGGUGAGUAACGCGUAGGUAACCUGCCUGGUAGCGGGGGAUAACUAUUGGAAACGAUAGCUAAUACCGCAUAAUAGUAGAUGUUGCAUGACAUUUGCUUAAAAGGUGCAAUUGCAUCACUACCAGAUGGACCUGCGUUGUAUUAGCUAGUUGGUGGGGUAACGGCUCACCAAGGCGACGAUACAUAGCCGACCGGAGAGGGUGAUCGGCCACACUGGGACUGAGACACGGCCCAGACGCCUACGGGAGGCAGCAGUAGGGAAUCUUCGGCAAUGGACGGAAGUCUGACCGAGCAACGCCGCGUGAGUGAAGAAGGGUGUCGGAUCGUAAAGCUCGGUUGUAAGAGAAGAACGAGUGUGCGAGUGGAAAGUUCACACUGUGACGGUAGCUUAACAGAAAGGGACGGCUAACUACGUG